This 484-nucleotide ribosomal RNA is filed under the name uncultured bacterium. RNAcentral describes it as "partial 16S ribosomal RNA". It matches the Rfam family "Bacterial small subunit ribosomal RNA", at positions 30 to 507 of the family's 1533-position model. The record is from RNAcentral.
AUUGAACGCUGGCGGCAGGCCUAACACAUGCAAGUCGAGCGGAUGAAGGGAGCUUGCUCCUGGAUUCAGCGGCGGACGGGUGAGUAAUGCCUAGGAAUCUGCCUGGUAGUGGGGGAUAACGUCCGGAAACGGGUGCUAAUACCGCAUACGUCCUGAGGGAGAAAGUGGGGGAUCUUCGGACCUCACGCUAUCAGAUGAGCCUAGGUCGGAUUAGCUAGUUGGUGGGGUAAAGGCCUACCAAGGCGACGAUCCGUAACUGGUCUGAGAGGAUGAUCAGUCACACUGGAACUGAGACACGGUCCAGACUCCUACGGGAGGCAGCAGUGGGGAAUAUUGGACAAAGGGCGAAAGCCUGAUCCAGCCAUGCCGCGUGUGUGAAGAAGGUCUUCGGAUUGUAAAGCACUUUAAGUUGGGAGGAAGGGCAGUAAGUUAAUACCUUGCUGUUUUGACGUUACCAACAGAAUAAGCACCGGCUAACUUCGUG